This 933-nucleotide long non-coding RNA is filed under the name Ananas comosus (pineapple). Its description in RNAcentral is "long non-coding RNA (ACOM_LNC024428)". The record is from RNAcentral. Lineage: Eukaryota; Viridiplantae; Streptophyta; Magnoliopsida; Poales; Bromeliaceae.
UGAGACGUCCUUUGCCUCGAGCCUGGCUUUACGCGGUACUCCGCGAAUGAUUGAUUCGAGACCGAGUCGGGUGGAUAGUUGAUAAAGGUAAAUGAGACCCUAUGAUCAGAAUUGUAAUUGUUAUGAGUUUAAAAUAGAGAAAUAACUUCGAGGUCAAUUGAAUGAGCUAUGAAUAACAGGAUUAAAGUAGUAUCGAUUGAACUACUAAUUGGUUGCAUAAAUCGCAUGAUUUUCAUAUUGCAUGGUUGUGAGGUAUGACAUGUAUUUCAAUUAUCGCAUAUAUAUAUGUAUCUGUUGGAUAUUUGUUGGACUAACAUGUUGUAGUGCCUCUAUUGGACCUAUUGGUCGAGCUUUUCCCUUGGGUCGCCGUACCCACUGGGAACCAUGGAGUUGGUUCUCACCCCACGUUAUUUUGGGGUAUUACAGGUUCACACGUGAGCAGCGCAGCGGCGCGAGGCGAGGGCGUAGCUCCAUAGUUAGCGCCCUACCACCGAGACCAGAGAUAGCGGUACCCCGAGUCAGCCUAGCUAGGGGUGUAGAAGAAAAGAAAAGGAAAGAAUAAACAAUAUUGUAAUAAUUUUGAUUGUAUUUGGAAGUUAAAUGUAAAAUGUAAUAGUGAUGUAAAGUAUGUCUAGUGAAUGUGAAUGCUUGUAAUAACAAGUAGAUUAUGUUUUUGAUACUUCCUUAUACAAUCUUUAAUUGAAAUGUGUUCCUGGUUGGAACUUUGUACAUUGUAUUGAUUGCGACGCCUUGAAUGUACAGGGGAGACUCUGUCCGCGAUACAGGGGAUACCCUGUCCGUUCGGCGGUUUGUCGGCGUGCCGCGACCUGGCCAAAUAGGCGGGCGGUCGCGCAGCGUGACAGAUAAGAUAGUAUCAGAGCAUAAAAAGAAUAUAAAAAUAAUAAUAGAAAUGGUUUAGUUGGACCUAGGAGA